This 357-nucleotide ribosomal RNA is filed under the name uncultured bacterium. Its description in RNAcentral is "bacterial SSU rRNA". It matches the Rfam family "Bacterial small subunit ribosomal RNA", at positions 8 to 353 of the family's 1533-position model. The record is from RNAcentral.
AGAGUUUGAUCCGCUCAGGAUGAACGCUAGCUACAGGCUUAACACAUGCAAGUCGAGGGGAAACGGACAUCGAAAGCUUGUCUUUUGUAUGGUCGUCGACCGGCGCACGGGUGAGUAACGCGUAUCCAACCUGCCCAUCACUUGGGGAUAACCUUGCGAAAGUAAGACUAAUACCCAAUGAUAUCUCUAGAAGGCAUCUGAAAGAGAUUAAAGAUUUAUCGGUGAUGGAUGGGGAUGCGUCUGAUUAGCUUGUUGGCGGGGUAACGGCCCACCAAGGCAACGAUCAGUAGGGGUUCUGAGAGGAAGGUCCCCCACAUUGGAACUGAGACACGGUCCAAACUCCUACGGGAGGCAGCA